This is a long non-coding RNA of Ruditapes philippinarum (Manila clam), 1357 nucleotides long. RefSeq lists it as uncharacterized. NCBI's taxonomy places the organism in Eukaryota, Metazoa, Mollusca, Bivalvia, Venerida, Veneridae. The transcript is spliced from 3 exons. The record is from RefSeq and is a predicted model, not a curated record.
CAAACAGGGCUUUUUAGCCCAGUAAUUUUACAAAUGCAAAACCAUGAAAUAUAAACGACAUCCUACAUAUUUUAAAAGAAAUGGCCUAUAUUCUAACAAAAAAUCACAAAAUAUUACAGUAAAUCGUAUUUUAAUGUCUAGAAAACACAACUUAUUAACCAUGCAUAAUUGUCAAAAUAGCGAAAUUCAGAACGUUCGCUGUCGUAUUUUCUUAAAAUAACAUAUGAAGAGCCACAAGCGACACAAAGUCCUUUUCAGGUAAUGAUACUAAAUAUAUACUAAAGCUGUGGCCGAAAUAUGGUGGUGUCGGGUUUGGCUCUUCAUAUCUAAAAAUAAUGUUUUCCGACAUUUGCUGUUGCUAUGGAAAUUCGGUCUUAGCUGAUAAUUCCCAUGAUAUUUGGCAUGAAAACAAUAUGUUUGCUUUAAAAAAUCUUAUCUAAACUAAUUACUCAUGUAGACCUUUAAUAAAAUUAUAUAAACUUAGACAGCAACUGAUUUAUAACAUAUUUUACGUGUUUUUAUUUCUAAUCAUUAUCCGAACUUGUCCUGCCCGAAUACGUGGUUGAUCAGAAAAAAAUGUUAUCCGUUUGUGGAAAACAUUUGUUUAUGUCUUGCUAAUAAAUAAAUACUAAAGACAAUAUAGCACAUUACAUUUAUGUUUAACCCGCUUCUCGUAAGAAACAGAAAAAUGCGUACGAACGCCAACUUUUGGUUCGAGAAUUGACCACUACUGUAUUCAAGGGAAUUAACUCGACAUUGAAUCUGAAACUGAAAGUAGACUGCUAUUGUUUUUCUCUCUGAUCGUUUUCCAACGCUUUUCAGCGAUGUAGGUGCAAAAACUGGAAACGAAAGAUGUAAAAGACAAGGUACUCUAUAGCCUAGUGGAUGUAAUCGGUGGCUGUCACCCGAUAGGCCGGAGUUCAAAACCAGGAUGCCUCAAAAGAUAUGUGUGCUGUGCAGAAAAAAGCUAAAACUGCAUCAAAGAAGACCUGUCAACAAAAAUAUAGCUAAAUAUUUACGGAAAUUCUAUUUGAUGCAAACAACCAAUUUGGAUUUUAUUUGUGGAGGUUGCAGCAAAAAAGUGUAUCCAGUUUCUAGUGCACAGCCAAAGUCAUCUGUUUCAGACACAUCAAGAAAAUCUACUGAAAAUCAGAUAGCAACAGCAACAACAUCUACAGCCUGUAAAAGUCCACCGUCCAUUCAGCUUCCCAUUAAAUCUACAUCCAAAAGCCAUUCCUACUGUUUUAUUUGUAAAAAGCCAGGUCCCAAAAUCAUAGUUGUACCAGCAAAUAUAAGAUAUUCAGUAUUCAUUGAACAUGGAAUUAUUAUCACAGCUGAAAGCAGAUGUUGUACUUCU